RNAcentral lists this ribosomal RNA (800 nucleotides) under Acinetobacter sp. P4C6. RNAcentral describes it as "bacterial SSU rRNA". It matches the Rfam family "Bacterial small subunit ribosomal RNA", at positions 56 to 850 of the family's 1533-position model. RNAcentral also lists the same sequence under 1 other name. Lineage: Bacteria; Pseudomonadati; Pseudomonadota; Gammaproteobacteria; Moraxellales; Moraxellaceae. The record is from RNAcentral.
UGCAAGUCGAGCGGAUGAAGGGAGCUUGCUCCUGGAUUCAGCGGCGGACGGGUGAGUAAUGCUUAGGAAUCUGCCUAUUAGUGGGGGACAACAGUUGGAAACGGCUGCUAAUACCGCAUACGCCCUACGGGGGAAAGGAGGGGAUCUUCGGACCUUUCGCUAAUAGAUGAGCCUAAGUCAGAUUAGCUAGUUGGUGGGGUAAAGGCCUACCAAGGCGACGAUCUGUAGCGGGUCUGAGAGGAUGAUCCGCCACACUGGGACUGAGACACGGCCCAGACUCCUACGGGAGGCAGCAGUGGGGAAUAUUGGACAAUGGGGGGAACCCUGAUCCAGCCAUGCCGCGUGUGUGAAGAAGGCCUUUUGGUUGUAAAGCACUUUAAGCGAGGAGGAGGCGCCCUAGAUUAAUACUCUAGGAGCGUGGACGUUACUCGCAGAAUAAGCACCGGCUAACUCUGUGCCAGCAGCCGCGGUAAUACAGAGGGUGCGAGCGUUAAUCGGAUUUACUGGGCGUAAAGCGUACGUAGGCGGCUUUUUAAGUCGGAUGUGAAAUCCCUGAGCUUAACUUAGGAAUUGCAUUCGAUACUGGGAAGCUAGAGUAUGGGAGAGGAUGGUAGAAUUCCAGGUGUAGCGGUGAAAUGCGUAGAGAUCUGGAGGAAUACCGAUGGCGAAGGCAGCCAUCUGGCCUAAUACUGACGCUGAGGUACGAAAGCAUGGGGAGCAAACAGGAUUAGAUACCCUGGUAGUCCAUGCCGUAAACGAUGUCUACUAGCCGUUGGGGCCUUUGAGGCUUUAGUGGCGCA